RNAcentral lists this transfer RNA (72 nucleotides) under Pangasianodon gigas (Mekong giant catfish). RNAcentral's name for it is "tRNA-Glu". It matches the Rfam family "tRNA". Rfam says of the family: Transfer RNA (tRNA) molecules are approximately 80 nucleotides in length. Their secondary structure includes four short double-helical elements and three loops (D, anti-codon, and T loops). The record is from RNAcentral. Lineage: Eukaryota; Metazoa; Chordata; Actinopteri; Siluriformes; Pangasiidae.
UCCCUGGAGGACUAGUGGUUAGGCCACAGUGCUCUCACUGCUGUGGUCCGGGUUUGAUUCCCGGCCAGGGAA